CAGCAGCCGCGGGAAUACGAAGGGUGCAAGCGUUAAUCGGAAUUACCGGGCGUAAAGCGUGCGUAGGCGGUGAGUUAAGUCUGCUGUGAAAUCCCCGGGCUCAACCUGGGAAUGGCAGUGGAUACUGGCUCGCUAGAGUGUGUCAGAGGAUGGUGGAAUUCCCGGUGUAGCGGUGAAAUGCGUAGAGAUCGGGAGGAACAUCAGUGGCGAAGGCGGCCAUCUGGGACAACACUGACGCUGAGGCACGAAAGCGUGGGGAGCAAACAGGAUUAGAUACCCCUGUAGUCCCUGUCUCUUAUAC
RNAcentral lists this ribosomal RNA (301 nucleotides) under uncultured bacterium. RNAcentral's name for it is "partial 16S ribosomal RNA". It matches the Rfam family "Bacterial small subunit ribosomal RNA", at positions 509 to 807 of the family's 1533-position model. The record is from RNAcentral.